AGCUUGCUCCCUGAGAUCAGCGGCGGACGGGUGAGUAACACGUGGGUAACCUGCCUGUAAGACUGGGAUAACUCCGGGAAACCGGGGCUAAUACCGGAUAACUCAGUUCCUCGCAUGAGGAACUGUUGAAAGGUGGCUUCGGCUACCACUUACAGAUGGACCCGCGGCGCAUUAGCUAGUUGGUGAGGUAACGGCUCACCAAGGCAACGAUGCGUAGCCGAACUGAGAGGGUGAUCGGCCACACUGGGACUGAGACACGGCCCAAACUCCUACGGGAGGCAGCAGUAGGGAAUCUUCCGCAAUGGACGAAAGUCUGACGGAACAACGCCGCGUGAGUGAAGAAGGGUUUCGGAUCGUAAAACUCUGUUGUUAGGGAAGAACAAGUGCCGUUCGAAUAGGGCGGCACCUUGACGGUACCUAACCAGAAAGCCACGGCUAACUACGUGCCAGCAGCCGCGGUAAUACGUAAGUGGCAAGCGUUGUCCGGAUUUAUUGGGCGUAAAGCGCGCGCAAGUGGUUUCUUAAGUCUGAUGUGAAAGCCCACGGCUCAACCGUGGAGGGUCAUUGGAAACUGGGGAACUUGAGUGCAGAAGAAGAAAGUGGAAUUCCAAGUGUAGCGGUGAAAUGCGUAGAUAUUUGGAGGAACACCAGUGGCGAAGGCGACUUUCUGGUCUGUAACUGACACUGAGGCGCGAAAGCGUGGGGGAGCAAACAGGAUUAGAUACCCUGGUAGUCCACGCCGUAAACGAUGAGUGCUAAGUGUUAAAGGGUUUCCGCCCUUUAGUGCUGCAGCUAACGCAUUAAGCACUCCGCCUGGGGAGUACGGUCGCAAGACUGAAACUCAAAGGAAUUGACGGGGGCCCGCCCAAGCGGGGGAGCAUGGGGUUUAAUUCCAAGCAACCCCGA
RNAcentral lists this ribosomal RNA (906 nucleotides) under Bacillus sp. PtbII_B1.5. RNAcentral describes it as "bacterial SSU rRNA". It matches the Rfam family "Bacterial small subunit ribosomal RNA", at positions 77 to 964 of the family's 1533-position model. The record is from RNAcentral. Lineage: Bacteria; Bacillati; Bacillota; Bacilli; Caryophanales; Bacillaceae.